This 403-nucleotide ribosomal RNA is filed under the name Fusobacteriota bacterium. RNAcentral's name for it is "Fusobacteria bacterium partial 16S ribosomal RNA". It matches the Rfam family "Bacterial small subunit ribosomal RNA", at positions 355 to 776 of the family's 1533-position model. The record is from RNAcentral. Lineage: Bacteria; Fusobacteriati; Fusobacteriota.
UGGGGAAUCUUGCACAAUGGGGGAAACCCUGAUGCAGCGACGCCGCGUGAGCGAUGAAGGGUUUCGAAUCGUAAAGCUCUGUCCUAUGGGAAGAUAAUGACGGUACCAUGGGAGGAAGCCCCGGCUAACUACGUGCCAGCAGCCGCGGUAAUACGUAGGGGGCGAGCGUUGUCCGGAAUUACUGGGCGUAAAGGGUUCGCAGGCGGCAUGGCAAGUCCGAUGUAAAAGGCGAAGGCUCAACCUUCGUAAGCAUCGGAAACUGUCAAGCUUGAGUGAAGGAGAGGCAAGUGGAAUUCCUAGUGUAGCGGUGGAAUGCGUAGAUAUUAGGAGGAAUACCGGUGGCGAAGGCGACUUGCUGGACUUCAACUGACGCUGAGGAACGAAAGCGUGGGUAGCAAACAGG